This 72-nucleotide transfer RNA is filed under the name Chelonia mydas (Green sea turtle). It matches the Rfam family "tRNA". From Rfam's summary of the family: Transfer RNA (tRNA) molecules are approximately 80 nucleotides in length. Their secondary structure includes four short double-helical elements and three loops (D, anti-codon, and T loops). Lineage: Eukaryota; Metazoa; Chordata; Testudines; Cheloniidae. The record is from Rfam by way of RNAcentral.
GGAAGGCUGGUCCAGUGGUUAGGACGCUAGCCUGCAAAGCAGGUGACAAAGGUUCCAGUCCCUGCUCUGCCA